Molecule: long non-coding RNA, 3134 nt
Organism: Centruroides sculpturatus (bark scorpion)
Lineage: Eukaryota; Metazoa; Arthropoda; Arachnida; Scorpiones; Buthidae
Exons: 2
Source: RefSeq, a predicted model, not a curated record
GAUAGUUUUCCUGCUGUUUUCUUAAUAUCAUAAGACAUUCAUUAUAAUGUAGACAAGUCUGUAAUUGCAUAAAAUAUGAAUAUCAUCAUUUACAUUAUGGUAAAUCUGUUAAUCUGACCAUUGUAAAUGUGAAUGCAUGAUUUACCAAGUCUGGGCUUUUGGUAUCAUUUCUUUUUGAGGUUGGUGAGAAAAUAAUAUGAAAUGCAGUACUGUACACAGAAAUGAAGUCAGGGUAAACAAAACAGGAUGUGUGACAUGGCUAACAUUUUCAUGAAAAUGGAAAUGUGCAGGUACACUGGAGAGUUUGCUGGAUUAAUGGUCUACUGUAAUGUAGAUUAAUUUCUCUCUUUAAUAAGAGUAAUUGUCUUUUAAUAUUUUAUCAGUUUUUAAUAAUUAAAACUAUUUUCAGGUGGUUAUCAAAAUCAAGGUUGGGCAAACCAAGCUUAUGGUUAUAAUCAAGGAUACGGAAACUAUAAUCAAGGAGGAUAUGGUGGCUACGGUAAUUAUAAUUACGAUUAUAAUUAUGGGACUAGCUACAGUGGGUACAACGGUGGAUACGACUAUGGCGGAUGGAAUUACGGGCAGGGAGGUUACGGAGGAGGAUACGGAAAUCUUUGUGACAGAAGGUAAGAUUAUUUUAUACGCCGGCGAAAUUCGAUCGAAGGGAGUAUAGUACAAAGUUUGGAAGGAUGUCCCGUUCUCAACAAGCAUUGUACAUUUGCUUUCCCUUACCCAUACCAAAGACAUCAGUAUUUUGAUGCUUGGCAAAGCUGUGCCAGAGAAAGCUAUUUAUAUAUUGUUGUCUAAAUGUUAACAACAGAAUAUUCUGCUGCAAAAAUUUGUUGGUUGAACUGUAAUGCACUUUUCCAAACUGUUGGUAAUAGAAAUAAGGCAAGUGACCACAGGAUCACAUUCCAAUGCUGCUUGAAACUGAUGUAGAAAACUUGACAAAUACUACAAUCGGUACAGGCCUAUCUGUUGGUAAUUUCAUUCCAGCAUUUUAGGUUUUUAUCAAGUGCAAUUUUUGUUGUUGUUGGAAUCUUCCUAUUGUGCCAUAUGUACUAUGGAAAAUGUCAACGUCUACCUGAUUUAGAAACAAAAUUGUGUAGUUUGGGUUGGUGUAGCUAUUCGAAUUUAAUGUGAAAAUUUUUUAACCAUUUAGCGGUACACGAAUUUGUUCGCAGUAUAUCCAAAACUCGUUACCUUUGUGACUCCUAGUUAUGCUUCCAGACGACAGUCAGACUCAGAAAAUGGCAAGUUUUCCUAAACGGUUUACCUGUUGUAUAUUAUGUAAAAUUAGAAAAAUUGUCAAAGAGUUUGUGAACAACAACUUUUUAUAGUAAUGUAUGAUGCCUGGGAGAAUUGUUUUGUCAUGUUGAUGUUGAAAAUAAAAUUUAGUUUGAUUAUAAGAUGUUUGUGUUUCUUUGUGUGUGUAUGUGUGUCUGUGUGCACGUGUGAGUUAGAUCUUGUAUUUCAUUAAUUCCGACACCAUCAUUUUUAAUAUCGUCACAAAUUCUUAUUUGUAACACGGAACCAAAAUGAUAUGGCCAAUUGGGGGAAAGAAAACCGUAAUGCGCCUCGAUAACAGAUUAUUGUAAUUGGGAAUACAAAAAACAUUCGGAUAGAUUUUUGCUACAUCUCUCUAUAUUGCAGGUGAUCGACAACAGAAAAAUGACAAGACAAGACAAGCAUCUUUGGUCGGACAAGUCCCUCGUCCCUGCGUCUGCUGACCGCAGUCGAUCUCACGGACAAGUUUCAUACGAAUCUGUUUUUUGUUGCCUCGUGGUCCCUCGUCGUCAGUUUGUUGUUCACACAGGCCCCGUUGUACAUAAUGGCAACUAUGACAUUUUAGCAAUAAAUCUUUUGUUGACGCCUUAAGUUGUAUUUAACCGAACAUUGAAUCGUGCAGGGUUUCUAAAUCCGCUUUUCUUUGUUUAAUUCUCUCCUGGUAAAAAGAGGGAAAUAUAUGUUUUAUCUCUAUUUUUAACUCUCAUUUUUAUUCAUUUACCUGUUGUUUUCUGUACUCUUCAUAAUCGGGAUCAUCUGUAGGUAGUUCGUCUCUACACACCGGACACGUGUUGGUCUGAAAAUUAAGUUGGUCAUUGAAAAUCUUAUAUUUUUAUGUAAAUUACAGUAAAAUAUGCCUUUAUGAACUGCUUUUAAUUUCAUUAAGAUUAUACAGACUAGAAAAAGAUAAUUUUUGGCAAUCAUGAUUUAUGUAUUUUUGGAAAAUAUCAGAUGUUUGAUUUAUGCACUUUAAUUUUCUAAGUAAUUUUUUGUUUCUUAUAAUAUACGUAGCCUUUUCUAAAGAACUGGUUACAUGGAAAUUUAUUAUUUUCUGACAUUGCACUGCUCUGUGAAAAUUAUUUUUAGUAAAAACAGAAUCAAAAGGCAGAUUUCACUGUAUAUAUGAAAGAAUGUAAAAUAUACAAUAUUGAGCCAAGGUGAUAUGCAGGAUGCGUGGAAUAAAUGUUGACAAGGUAACUGCUUUCCUAUGUCACCUUCUUCAAACUCCUUCAUGCACACGGGGCAUUGUCUGUCUACUUAGGAGCAAAAUAUAUUAAUUAGAAACAAACCGUAAUUAACAUGCGAAAAUUCAAUAGAAAUAACACGUAAAAACAAAAAUGGUAAAUGAAUAAUGUUAUGAACUUUGUAUAAUUUGAAUAAUAAGUGUAACUGUAAUUGAUAUUUACUAGAAUAGUCUAAGAAUGAUCUUUUAGUUGACAUUUUCCUGGUGCUCAUUAUGGCAAAAACUUGAUUUUCAAAAAUUAAAUUUAAAAACAAUCUAAAAUUUUAAGAAAUUUGGAAGAUGAAUAUAUCUAUGGAAUGUAAUUAAAAAUAAUGGUAAGUGCCUGUGAAAAUAAAUGGUUACAAUGCAACGUAAAUAAAUUCACUUUCGCCGCAUAACCGACUGCCAUUCUGUGCUAAAAUACAAAAGAAAAUAGUGUACGUGAUAGACGAAGAAUGAGAAGAUUUUAGAAUACUGAAUUAAGAUAAUUACUAAUUUAGUACGAAUGCGUGCGUGGAUGCGGGUAUAAUGUAACAAAGUUCAGAAUCCUCAUGUUGAAAAAUGUCCAACUGUUUUGUAAAAAAAAAUUGUAAUAAAGUUAUAAUUGAUGUUAUCAGAGUUUAAA